Molecule: non-coding RNA, 5937 nt
Organism: Oryctolagus cuniculus (rabbit)
Lineage: Eukaryota; Metazoa; Chordata; Mammalia; Lagomorpha; Leporidae
Source: RefSeq, a predicted model, not a curated record
CGACUGGGUAGCUGUGGACACACCUUUUUCCUGCUCACAGCGAAGAAGCGCCCUGGGGCUGGUACGUGAUCACCAAAGGGGAAGUGCAGGAGGCAACUCUUUUGCCAGAGGACUAUGGUCUGACAUGCGGCCCACGGGGUUGAAAUCAAGUUGUGGGCAGUGCAGAGCUGUUCCUGGAGGUUUCAGAGGGACAAUCCAUUCCCUUGCUUUCCCCAGCUUCUAGAAGCUUCCUCAUUCUUUGUGGAUCCUACAGCAUCACUUGCCGCCUCUUUUGACUAUCUAGUCUCCCUCCUACAAGGGCCCUGAUAUUACAAUCAGAGUCCAUGAAGUGAGGCUCUGAGCUUCCAGCAAAUAUACCACCACCAGCAGCAGCUAACCCAAUGGGACCUGCCCAAUCUUGGACUGUGAACCUCCAAAACAAUAGCCAAGGUGCCCAAAGAUGUGUCCGGGUGUAUUUUGCAGUCCUCAGUCAGCCAACCAAGGCACAUGCACUGUGAACCCUGGGGCCUGUCUGCAGCUCCGUCAUUUCUUAGCCACCCAGGGCUGCCACUGCCCCAGCAUCUCAGAUGAGUCAAGGUUCCAGCCCUCUUGCCCAGGGGCGACUGAGAGAUGAUGGCACCUACAUUACACAUUACUGCGAGGAGUACAGGAGAGAAUUCCCACAUUAUCCUCUUAGUUUUGGUGCCAGGCUACCUGAGUGAGUACUCACAGUGAGCUGGCCAUGUGAAACAUGAAAAGGAGACUCCAGAGAAACACGGGCAGGAGAGGAGCCCCCGGUGCUGAGCCCACAAGGGGCCCCCAGCGGGCAGAGCAGUCCCAGGGUUCCUUCAGCCUGGACGGAGUGUCGAUGACAUCACCCUGCAGAAGACAGGUCUGAGCAUGCGCAGACGGAGGCACCCCCCCACCCCCAUCCUCUCCCCUACCAGGCUGGUGGAAUGUGCUUUGGACCCUCCUGCGGCCAUCUUUAAAAGGAAGAUCCAGCCUUGGAGCCCAGCAGUGGGACAAGGGAGCCAGAUGCUUUCGAGAACUGGUACCAGACUUCCCAGAAAGAGGAUGGCUGAAGGCUCACAGACUCUCAAGCACGAACAGCACCAGGCUAUUGGCGAUGGCUGGUGGAAGCUGCGGUUUUAAAGGCCAUAUUCCUUGGGGCGAGGAUGAGCAGCUGAGAGCAAGCCCUCGCCUUGCUCCUUCCAGACUCCAGCCAGGCCACGGAGCCGUCUGCAGACUGAGAGCCUGAAACCUCCGGAAGCUUGCAGAAACCACAGAGCUGGAGAGGAGGACGGAGCCAGGCUCAGUGCUCACGGUGUCCGUGAGUGGUGGGCUCAGGCUGGUGGGGUUCAGGUUCCUGGGCUCCCACUGGACUGUGGCACCUGUGUUCCCAGAUGGAGCACCUACGUUGAACUUCAGUUUUGUGCAACACCCCCUUGCUGAGGUCUUGACCCACGAUGUGCAAGUUUAAAAUGGAAAGCAGUCCCUGCAUCCGCGCUCUGACUAGACCGGUUAAUGGUGGGUUUUCAGCAACACAAUGUGGCUACCAGUUUAGUGUGUCUUAGCCUCACAUCUCCCAAACCUCAGCCACUUCAGUAGCCACCAAGAGGCCCUUGACAGUCUGAGUCCAGUUCUGCCAUCCCUUGGCACAGUCCUGCCUUCCUCUGGCUAGCCAUCCUCACUCUAGUCUAAAUCACUGGGCAAGAGGAGAGCCUUGCCAGCAGGACAAUGCUGGCAGAUGAACAUAAGAGGUUGGAUUUCCUGUGUUGAAAUGAGAGAAGAGACUUUUUUCCCCUUCCAGUUUUUGUUUGUUUGUUUGUUUUUGUUUGUUUUUGUUUGUUUUGUUUUGUUUUUGUUUUUGACGGGCAGAGUGGACAGUGAGAGAGAGAGACAGAGAGAAAGGUCUUCCUUUUCCGUUGGUUCACCCCACCAGUGGCAGCUGCAGCCGGCGCACUGCGGCCGGCGUACCACGCUGAUCCGAAGCCAGGAACCAGGUGCUUCUCCUGGUCUCCCAUGGGGUGCAGGGCCCAAGCACUUGGGCCAUCCUCCACUGCACUCCCUGGCCACAGCAGAGAGCUGGCCUGGAAGAGGAGCAACCGGGACAGAAUCCGGCGCCUAUAUAGGAUGCCAGUGCCGCGGGCAGGGGGUUAACCAAAUGAGCCACGGCAUCGGCCCCCUAUUUAUUUAUUUGAAAGGCAGAGUUACAGAGAGGCGGGGGUGGGGGGAGAGAGAGGUCUUCCAUCCGCUGGUUCACUCCCCAGCUGGUCACAAUGAACAGAGCUGUGCCAAUCUGAAGCCAGGAGCCAGGAGCUUCUUCCGGGUCCCCCACAGGUACAAAGGCCCAAGAACUUGGGCCUUGUUCUGCUGCUUUCCCAGGCCACAGCAGAAAGCUGGAUAGAAAGUGGAGCAGCCAGAACUCGAACUGGCGCCCAUGUGGGAUACUGUCACUGCAGACAGUGGCUUUACCCACUACGCCACAGCGCCGGCCCCUCUAAAUUUCUUUUAGAACCCAGAUAAGCUGCUGGCGGCUUUAUGACACAGCUUUUCUUUCCUGGGGAGCUAGCAGCCAUCUCUUUUUGACAUGCAAACAUCCUGGAAGAGAGUGCCUCUGUAUUCCAAUUUCUGGGGCAGAGCAGGAGCCUAACUUUGGCAGGUACCUGGUUCCAAAUUGAAUGACCUCCUGUCUUCAAGAUACUGCUGGGGACCCCAAUUACCGGGUGAAUUUCGGAUGAACCCAGUGUAACACAUGGUGCUGCCCAGUCCUCUUCCCGGAGGACUGAUUACUGACAUCCCGAGGACACAUCUGGAAUGGUAGCGCCUGCCUGGCUAUAGGAAAGGGUGCUAUUCCCUCCUGCCUCUGCCAUCUCUGUGAGGCACCUGCCAUCCUGCUUUAAGGUUGCUGUAAUGAUACGAUCGUUUUCUUUCUUUGUCGAGAGACUUUCUGGGUUGGCCAAAGAUUUUGUCUGGUUAGGCAUCUCCGUUAGAGCGAAGUAGCCUCACCUCCAGCUUCUCUCCGAAGCCUGGGCUGUCCCCCAGCUUCAGAUCUCAUGGCAUUCAUCUAGCUAGUGCACUCCCACAGCAGCGUUGUGCCUUGGCUGGUACUUGAACUUGACCUCUGUAGCCCCCGAGAGCCUUUGCCUGCCCUCCUACCUUUAGGAGCAGUUCCCCAGCCCUGAGAACUGCAAGCCGCACAGCGUGACCCAGGCUAGCACCUUGGAGGUUCAGUGAGUGCUGAAUGCCUGAUCUCCAGCUAACGCAUAAGUUAACCCGAAGCCAAACAGCGUGGGAAGGGGAGGUGGCAGGGAGCCAGGGCUGGGGACCAGAGACCCUCAUAAGGACAGGGCUGCCUGGCCACCAAGAGGCGUGGCUGUUUCUCUGAUGAGACCUUUUUCUCUCGAUAUGGUUCAUCCAGUCUUCUCUAUGCCAUAUUCACACCUCUUAGAGCCCAAGGGUUAUGGGAGGGGGAGGUAGACCCCCAGCUCCCAGCUGGCUCUAGCAGAUUUGUAGAGUGGUGGUCCCUGCUGGGUUGAACUCUGACCUCUGCAGAAGGCCUCGGGACACGACAUGAAGCCGCAAGCUAACAUGCCUUACACUCCCCAAGCAUCGAGUGGACCCAGCUGAUCCUUUAAAGUGUUAUCUGUAAAGAAUGCAAAUGGACAUGAGGUUGUGUGGUUGGAUUCAACAUUUCACCAACUUCUCAGCCAAUACCGGCAAGGGCAGAUAUACUCUGCCCUUGGCCUCCUCGCCCCAGCUCCUGGUGGAAAUGGCUUGGCCAGGGCCCCCUGAGAGGUGUGCAGGGCACGGGUUGUCUGCAGCUUCUGCGGGUGAGAGAGAAUGGUAUUUCCCAUCACGCACACACGUGCAGGCGCGUGCAAACAUGUACACACUGACCUCUGCUCUCUGCCCUGCUCGGGCUCCUUCUUGGCCUUGGAGAUGGGGCAUUGAGAGGAGACAAGGAGGGUGUUUCCUUCCCACAGAAAGCUGCCGCAGACACCCCCUCCCCAUUGUUCCCAAUCCUCGCAUGCUUGGGACAGGGCCCUCAUUCUCCUUGUCCUCUGCAGGCGCCCCCCUGUGGCUGUCUCUGGCUGCCCCUACACCCCGUCACUCCCCUAACCUGCUCACACCUCAGCCAGCCCAGCUGUAGAAACACCUGGGAUACUUCUUUUGCCUGCUGAGUCCCUGGCAGACACAGGGCUCAGCUGCAGCUCCUGGGCUCCUGACUGCCCGAGCAGACACCUGCUCACAGGAGCGUGGGGAAGCAGCCUCGGCCGUGGGUUAAUCUCAGCUGCUUCACAGUGCCCACCCCCUGUGUGAGUGACACCUCCCCACACAGCACCUCACCCUGCCCCCUCCCUGCAGGGGGCAUAGGCUCAUUCUUUUGGGCUCCUGUGAAAGCUCUUCUAAGUGACUCUUCCCGACGUCCCCAGGGUCCCCGGGGUGGGGACCUUGGAUCUCAGUGGUCAUUGUGGGAGCUUGGAAAGGGAGCAGGCAUUGAGGUAGGGGCUUCGCACAGAUGAUCUCCUUUGGCUCUCUAGCCUCCAUCAAGCUGUGUGUGUGCACUGAGUGCCAUUUUCAAGGUGCGCAAACUGGGGCUCAGGGAGCAUGAGCUGCUGUGGCCUCAGCGCCAGCAUGGCACGGUCUGUCUCCUCCACGCUGACAUCCCAGCGUUCCAAGGCAGUAUGCUCUGCGGUGGCUAUAGUGAGAAGGACUGUUUUCAGGACAGAAGCCAAAAGCCUCGGGUUUGUUUUAGAAGCUGUAGGGUGUUGCAACACAGGAGUUGCCCAACCAUGUUUUGCUUGCAAAGGAGCGAUGCCAGAAUUUCUCCCCCUGAUUGAGAAACUACAUACAGUUUGCUCUAUGCAAAGCAAAAGCCCAUUAUGAAAUGUGGCAAACCAGAGCCCAGGUGGCCACAAUUCCUUCCCAGCUCCAGGGGAGAGGUUGUGGCAGGGGCCCUGGGAAGACUGCCUGAAGCCACACCACUGCAAGGCUGCUGGCCCAGAGGCCCCUAAAUUCCUUCACUCUGAGGUAAGCUCACAGGCCCCACCAGCACACAGAGAUAAAGGCCCAUAGCCUAGGGUUUCCAGAGAAAAUCGGGACUUUCUUUUGGGAAGUUGAAGUUCAAGGUCUGCGUGACCAGGGCAGGAGGCCACGGUUGAGAGACUGUGCUGUCUGAAGUCCUGCUGCUGCUUCCACUGCAUGGUGUCAGGCGGGUUCUCACUUCUUCACCUGCCAUCAGCACUCCCCGGCCAUCAGGACACCAAAGGGCCAGGGUGGUCAGGAGUGGCUGGGAGGAGCUUGCACAACCUCAGUUCUUCAGGGUGCACAACGCCCCCAGUCACAGCACCUGCCUCUAGGAACCGACUUCAAGAAGCACAAGUCCAUCUCCCCUACAACGUCAUCAGCAAGAAACAAGAUGCAUUCAGUCCUUGCACAGAGCGGGAGGGGAAUAGGACGAGUCGGAAGCUCUGGAUGACAUCAGAAAUGAAGUACAGCCUCUCUGGGCCUCGGGUUCCCCGUCUGCCAAAUAAGAGGCAUAGGCGAGAUCACCUCAGAGAUGACCUUGGAGGUGGCAGGCCACUAAAAGCCCUCGCACAGGGCCGGCACAGCGGGUAAAGCCGCCGCCUGCAAUGCCGACAUCCCAGAUGGGCGCCAGUUCGAGUCCUGGCUGCUCCACUUCCAAUCCGGCUCUCUGCUAUGACCUGGGAAAGCAGAAGAAGAUGGCUCAAGUUCUUGGGCCCCUGCACCCAUGUGGGAGACCCAGAAGAAGCCCCUGGCUCCUGGCUUCAGAUUGGCACAGCUCUGGCCAUUGCAGCCAAUUGGAGAGUGAACCAGCGGAUGGAGGACUUCUCUGUCUCUACCUCUCUUUCUCUCUUUCUGCCUCUCCUUCUUUCUCUCUGUGUAACUCUGACUUUCAAAUAAAUAAAUAAAUCUUUAAAAAAAAAAAAAGAA